Molecule: ribosomal RNA, 403 nt
Filed under: uncultured bacterium
Lineage: Bacteria
Description: bacterial SSU rRNA
Rfam family: Bacterial small subunit ribosomal RNA
Source: RNAcentral
UAGGGAAUAUUGCUUAAUGGGCGAAAGCCUGAAGCAGCAACGCCGCGUGUGUGAAGAAGGCCUUCGGGUUGUAAAACACUUUUUGAGGGAAUGAGGAAGGACAGUACCCUAGAAUAAGCCUCGGCUAACUACGUGCCAGCAGCCGCGGUAAAACGUAGGAGGCGAGCGUUAUCCGGAUUUACUGGGCGUAAAGCGCGUGCAGGCGGCACGGCAAGUUGGAUGUGAAAGCUCCCGGCUUAACUGGGAGAGGUCGUUCAAAACUGCCGAGCUAGAGUGCGGGAGAGGGAGGUGGAAUUACGGGUGUAGUGGUGAAAUGCGUAGAUAUCCGGAGGAACACCAGUGGCGAAAGCGGCCUCCUGGUCCGCAACUGACGCUCAGACGCGAAAGCUAGGGUAGCAAACGG